Long non-coding RNA from Homo sapiens (human), 677 nucleotides. RefSeq annotates it as CCL5 regulatory antisense RNA 1. The transcript has 5 exons. The record is from RefSeq and is a predicted model, not a curated record. Lineage: Eukaryota; Metazoa; Chordata; Mammalia; Primates; Hominidae.
ACUUGAGCUAGUCACUUUAUUUUCUGAGCUUCAGUUUGCUCACUGGACGAGUAGGAAAGUCAUUCCUGUCUGGCUUAACUAGAGGGCCUGUGGUGAGGCAUAAACUGGAGAAGAAAAUCAAACCAUCUGGUGAACUGUCAAGCUCAAUUUCCCUCUUUAAGGAAGAAAGGAAAGUGUUUUCCUGGAUACUAGAUAUGCUGAGUUGGGACAGGAGCUAAGGAUAGAGGUGAGGAAACCCGCAGACAACAGCGACAUGCUCCUCAUCUUUGAGUCCCAGCGAACCUUUCCACUGUGUGUGUGUGAUCUCACUCUGUUCCCCAGGCUGGAAUGCAGUUAACUGAUCACCUGCAGGCUUGAACUCCAGGGUUCAAGCGAUCCUCCUACUUCAGCCUCCUGAGCAGCUAAGGACUACAGCACAUUAUGUUCCUGAAAACCAGGAACUGCUUCCUGUCUGACCCACUGCAGUGGUGGAGAGGAUCAAGGGAAAUAAUGAUCAUGGAUGUGCUUAGGAGACGUAAGAUUUUACUAAGAAUUGCUGUGAGCUGGGCACCCUUCUACGCUCUGCAGACACCAUGGCUAGUAAGACAGGCAAAGACCUGCCAUCUGGAGCUUGUUUGGAUAUAGGGUAGGGGGACGGGGAGAAGGGAGAUAAACAAUAAACAAGUAAAUUUACACUC